UACGGAGGGGGGCUAGCGUUGUUCGGAAUUACUGGGCGUAAAGCGCGCGUAGGCGGCUUUGUAAGUUAGAGGUGAAAAGCCCGGAGCUCAACUCCGGAAUUGCCUUUAAGACUGCAUCGCUAGAAUCAUGGAGAGGUGAGUGGAAUUCCGAGUGUAGAGGUGAAAAUUCGUAGAUAUUCGGAAGAACACCAGUGGCGAAGGCGGCUCACUGGACCGGUAUUGACGCUGAGGUGCGAAAGCGUGGGGAGCAAACAGG
This 256-nucleotide ribosomal RNA is filed under the name uncultured bacterium. Its description in RNAcentral is "partial 16S ribosomal RNA". It matches the Rfam family "Bacterial small subunit ribosomal RNA", at positions 524 to 776 of the family's 1533-position model. The record is from RNAcentral.